GGAGGGGUGCAAACGUUGUCCGGAAUCACUGGGGCGUAAAGGGCGCGUAGGCGGACUUGUAAGUCAGGAGUGAAAACUCAGGGGCUCAACCCUGAGCCUGCUUCUGAAACUGCAAGUCUUGAGGACCGGAGAGGAAAGUGGAAUUCCUAGUGUAGCGGUGGAAUGCGUAGAUAUUAGGAAGAACACCAGUGGCGAAGGCGACUUUCUGGACGGUACCUGACGCUGAGGCGCGAAAGCUAGGGGAGCAAACAGGAUUAGAUACCCUGGUAGUCCUAGCCGUAAACGAUGAGUGCUAGGUGGUGGUAGUUUCAACGCUUUCACUGCCGAAGCCAACGCAUUAAGCACUCCGCCUGGGGAGUACGGCCGCAAGGUUG
Molecule: ribosomal RNA, 374 nt
Filed under: uncultured organism
Description: partial 16S ribosomal RNA
Rfam family: Bacterial small subunit ribosomal RNA
Source: RNAcentral